CAUAUAUAUCAGGGAUCUCCAUGGCCUGUUUAACGAUGGCGCCCCGCCAUCGUUCAAAUGUCUUGCGCCAUCGUCAAAUGACUUGCGCCAUCGUUAAAUUGUCUUGCGCCAUCGUUAAAUUGUCUUCCGCCAUCGUUUAAAACUUCAUCGUUUUUUGUAGCCCGACGCCAUUUUUUAUCAAUUAUAAUCAAAUGCAUGUAAUUGCAUAACCCUUAGGCUUUUUAUGUUAUAAUCCAAUACAGUUCUAACGCCUGAGGG
Molecule: long non-coding RNA, 258 nt
Filed under: Mytilus galloprovincialis (Mediterranean mussel)
Lineage: Eukaryota; Metazoa; Mollusca; Bivalvia; Mytilida; Mytilidae
Source: RNAcentral